CCUACGGGUGGCUGCAGUAGGGAAUAUUGGGCAAUGGAGGCAACUCUGACCCAGCCAUGCCGCGUGCAGGAAGAAGGCCCUCUGGGUUGUAAACUGCUUUUGACGGGGGAGAACACAUCACUUGCGAGUGAUGCUGACGGUACCCGCAGAAUAAGCACCGGCUAACUACGUGCCAGCAGCCGCGGUAAUACGUAGGGUGCAAGCGUUGUCCGGAUUCACUGGGUUUAAAGGGUGCGCAGGCGGCCUGCCAAGUCGGCGUUCAAAGUCCGGGGCCU
Molecule: ribosomal RNA, 275 nt
Filed under: uncultured bacterium
Lineage: Bacteria
Description: partial 16S ribosomal RNA
Rfam family: Bacterial small subunit ribosomal RNA
Source: RNAcentral